UACAGAGGGUGCAAGCGUUAAUCGGAAUUGCUGGGCGUAAAGCGUGCGUAGGUGGUCGUUUUAAGUCUGUUGUGAAAGCCCUGGGCUCAACCUGGGAACUGCAGUGGAAACUGGACGACUAGAGUGUGGUAGAGGGUAGCGGAAUUCCCGGUGUAGCAGUGAAAUGCGUAGAGAUCGGGAGGAACAUCCAUGGCGAAGGCAGCUACCUGGACCAACACUGACACUGAGGCACGAAAGCGUGGGGAGCAAACAGG
Molecule: ribosomal RNA, 254 nt
Filed under: uncultured bacterium
Lineage: Bacteria
Description: partial 16S ribosomal RNA
Rfam family: Bacterial small subunit ribosomal RNA
Source: RNAcentral